AUGAGAGGGACAGAGGGACAUCAUGGGGACAGCAGGGACGCCAUAGGGACAGAGGGACAUUGUAGGGACAGAGGGACACCAUGGGGACAGAGGGGAGACCGUGGGGACAGAGGGACAUCAGAGGGACAGUGGGACACCAUAGGGACAGAGGGACAUCACAGGGACAGAGGGACAUCGUGGGGACAGAAGGACACCAUAGGGACAGUGGGGAGACCGUGGGGACAGAGGGACAUUGUAGGGACAGAGGGACACCAUGCGGACAGAGGGACACCAUGGGGACAGAGGGACAUCAGAGGGACAUCAGAGGGAGAGAGGGACACCAUAGGGACAGAGGGACAUGAGAGGGACAGCAGGACAUCAUGGGGACAGCAGAGAGACAGUGGGGACAGAGGGACAUCAGAGGGACAGAGGGACACCAUGCGGACAGAGGGGCAUCAUAGGGACAGUGGGGAGACCGUGGGGACAGAGGGACAUUGUAGGGACAGAGGGACACCAUGUGGACAGAGGGACAUCGUGGGGACAGAGGGACAUGAGAGGGACAGAGGGACAUCACGGGGACAGAGGGACAUCAGAGGGACAGAGGGACAUCACAGGGACAGAGGGACAUCAUGGGGACAGCAGGGACACCAUGCGGACAGAGGGACAUCAGAGGGACCAAGGGAUAGGGACAGUGGGGAGACCGUGGGGACAGAGGGACAUCAUAGGGACAGAGGGACAUGAGAGGGACAGCAGGGAGACCGUGGGGACAGAGGGACAUUGUAGGGACAGAGGGACACCAUGCAGACAGAGGGACAUCAUAGGGACAGUGGGGAGACCGUGGGGACAAAGGGACAUCGUAGGGACAGAGGGACAUCAUAGGGACAGAGGGACACCAUGGGGACAGUGGGGAGACCGUGGGGACAGAGGGACACCAUAGGGACAGAGGGACAUCAUAGGGACAGAGGGACAUCUUGGGGACAGCAGGGAGUCCUUGCGGCAGUAGAAAACCCCAGGGACACAGAGACCCCAUGGGGACACUGAGAGCCUUUGGGGACACACUGAGUCCCUUUUGAGGACGCAUAGGGACCGUUUGGGGACACGAAGACCCCUUGGGGACCAUCUGGGGACACGUGGGGAGUCUUUGGGGACACAGAGACCCUUUGGGGACACUUUGGGGACCCUUUGGGGUCACAGAGACCCUUUGGGGACCCUUUAGGGACAUGGAAACCCCUUCGGGACCCUUAGGGACACAGAGACCUUUGGGGUCACAUGGGGACCCUUAGGGACCCAGAGACCCCUUGGGGACCCUUUGGGGACACUGAGACACUUUGGAGACCCUUUGGGGACACAGAGACCCCUUGGGGACCCUUAGGGACACAGAGACCUUUGGGGACCCUUUGGGGACACUGAGAGCCUUUGGGGACCCUUUGGGGUCACAGAGACCCUUUGGGGAUCCUUUGGGGACCCUUUGGGGACACUGAGACCUUUUGGGGACCCUUUGGGGACAUGGAGACCCCUUGCGGAUCCUUAGGGACACAGAGACCUUUUAGGGACCCUUUGGGGACACGGAGACCCUUUGGGGACCCUUUGGGGUCACAGAAAUCCUUUGGGGACCCUUAGGGGCACAGAGACCCUUUGGGGACCCAUUGGGGACACGGAGACCCUUUGGGGACCCUUUGGUGANNNNNNNNNNNNNNNNNNNNNNNNNNNNNNNNNNNNNNNNNNNNNNNNACCUUUGGGG
Molecule: long non-coding RNA, 1720 nt
Organism: Phasianus colchicus (ring-necked pheasant)
Lineage: Eukaryota; Metazoa; Chordata; Aves; Galliformes; Phasianidae
Source: Ensembl